This is a long non-coding RNA of Meriones unguiculatus (Mongolian gerbil), 955 nucleotides long. RefSeq lists it as uncharacterized. The record is from RefSeq and is a predicted model, not a curated record. Lineage: Eukaryota; Metazoa; Chordata; Mammalia; Rodentia; Muridae. The transcript has 2 exons.
AGCCACAGCUGCAGCUGUGGGAAGAGCUGGCUAGAGACGAGGGACCCUGGUGUCAUGACGAAGCUGCAUCUGUCCACCCAGGACACUGAAAAUGUGUUCAGCAGAGAAAGCUGACAAAGCAUACAGGAGAGGCUUCCAGAGAUGACAGUUGACCCAUGGGUAGCUGAAAGCAGAGGAUGGAGAGGGCAUAAUGGCGUAUGUUCACCGGGAAGGAAACAGCAUCUCCUUGACAGGUCUUCAGUGGAAGAAGCACUCUGGAAGGACGUGUAAGGUAUGGUGUGAUGCUGUGAGUAACACACACUUGUAAGCCCAGCAUGCAGGAGGCAGAGGCUAGCCAGAGCUAAACAGCAAGGUCCUGCCUCAGAAAACCAAAAUUACCAGACAAAAUACUGUGCUUGCUAAAAGCACCAGCCAUCUCCUCCCCUAGGCCUAUAAGGUGACUAGAGGAAGAAUAAAAGCUGGAUAUUUCUCCAUCUUCAUUUUGCAUCUUCUUCACUUUGGGUUGGAUUUCUGCUCAGUUCUGCAUGUAGGCAUGUUAAGCAUUCGAGGAGCAAAAGCUGUCCAAAAGCUGGUGGUACCUAGCCAAUCUUAACUCUGUACUGGCUAGUUUUCUGUCAACUUGACACAAGCUAGAGUCAACAGAGUGGAGGCAGCUUCAACGGAGACAUGCCUCCAUAAGAUCAGGCCAUGGGCAAACCCGUAUGGCAUUUUCUUAAUUAGUGAGUGAUGGGGAAGGGCCCAGCCUGUUGUAGGUGGUGCCAUCCCUGGGCUGGAGGUCCUGGGUUCUACAAAAAGGCAAGCUGAGCAAGCUAUGAUGAGCAAGCCAGUACCUCUCCACAGCCUCUGCAUCAGCUCCUGCUUCCAGGUUCCUGCCCUGCUUGAGUUCCUGUCCUGACUUUCUUUGAUUAUGAGCUGUGAUGUGGAAGUGUGAGCCAAAUAAACUCUUUCCUUCUCA